Molecule: unclassified non-coding RNA, 6780 nt
Filed under: Manduca sexta (tobacco hornworm)
Lineage: Eukaryota; Metazoa; Arthropoda; Insecta; Lepidoptera; Sphingidae
Description: galactosylgalactosylxylosylprotein 3-beta- glucuronosyltransferase I, transcript variant X1
Source: RNAcentral
UCGGACUCGGUCGUCGUCGUAAGCGGCCGAAAUAAUUCACGAAAUAUUAUAUUGUUGAAAGGCAUGGAGUAUAGCUUACUAAAUUAUUGUGUUCAGUGAAUGCAAACGCGUGUGUGGUUUAAUUGAUAUAAUCGUAAGCGCAGUUAUCGACAAUAAAAUGUCUUUUGUUAACAUAAAGAAGCAAUAUCUAGCAAUGGGAAUGUUAGUUUUCGUCUUACUGUUUUUAUUUAAUAACAAGCCGGCUUUUCAGUGUCAAUUUAGUCCUGAAAUGUCUAGUUAUUUGCCGCCGAUAUACGGAAUUACACCGACAUACGCUCGUCUCGCACAGAAAGCUGAUCUCACAAGGUUAUCACAAACAUUGUCAUUGGUGAAGAAUUUUCACUGGAUCGUCAUCGAGGAUUCAGAGACCAAGACAAAAUUGGUAGAGAAUCUCCUAAAAGAGUCCUCACUCAAAUACACACAUCUCAAUGUGAAAACACAUAAGGCGAAACAUUCCACGGCAAGUGGAGUGGAACAAAGGAAUGCGGCACUGGAAUGGCUUAGAGGUUAUUUAGAAACAGCGGAGGACAAAAAAGGUGUGGUUUACUUCAUGGAUGAUGAUAACACAUACUCUCUGAAAGUAUUUGAAGAGAUGCGGAAAAUCAACAAAGUAGGCGUGUGGCCAGUGGGCAUCGUCGGUGGGAUGCGUGUGGAGAUGCCGCUAGUCACCAACGGCAAAGUGACUGGCUUCAAUGCGGUCUGGAAGCCCUUCAGACCGUUCCCGAUCGACAUGGCCGGGUUUGCUAUCAACGCCACCUUGUUCCUUGAUCAUCCAGACGCGAAGUUCUCGAGGAAGGUGCAGUCUGGAUUCCAGGAGAGCGAAAUAUUGAAAUAUUUCACAACGAAAGAAGAGAUGGAACCGCUAGCCGACAACUGUACCAAAGUGUACGUAUGGCACACACGCACACAGAAACCUUCUAUACUCAACGUGAAGAAGUUGAAACACACACCUGUACCGGACGAUCAUAUCGAGGUAUGAUUUGGUUGUUGUUAUAAUGUUGAAACGCGCGGUAAAAUGAACUCUAUGUUCAUAUAUAUUUGGUCUCUAAACCGCUAGUUUUUCGCGGAUUUAGGAUUACAAUUUGGCGGAAUAAAAUAUUGGAGAAAUUUCCUAAUUGGAAUAGGUACAGGUUUUUUCUUUAUGUAGUACGAAAAAUGUAUGUAAUAAUAUUGUGUAGGGGCAUGGUACCCUAAAUAAUUUUUUGAUUUUUUAUGACACUCCUUGUUUUUUUUUAAUAUCGGCUUGAAUGUGAACAAAUUAUGUUCCAGUCACUUAAAUUUAGAAAUUCAAGAAUAAUGAGUUUUUUUUUUAAUUUAUUUAUUGGUAACGAAAAAUAAAUAUUUUUAUUAUUUUACUAAACAAAUUUGAAUGACUAUAUAUAAAGUAUGCAACAUGUUAUUUUGAACUUGAUCGCGUGAAACUUUUUAAUUGUGGAGAAAGGUUAAUAAAUUGUGAAUAAUACGUAUACUCAGAAAAGAUACGAAGUGUACUUUGAAAAGUAGUGGAGGCUUAUAAAAUUAAAUUUAAGUCUUUACUAAAAUUAUAUUGACAAGAAUACAAUAAUUUAUGGUGAUUGUCGCUUCAUUUACAAAAAAUAUUUUAGUAACCAUUAUUUUAUACAUCAAAAUUUCCUUUUUUUUUUCAUUCAAAAUAUAAUAAGUCGAUUACUUAUAUAAUCACUUUGAUGAAUUAUUAAAGUUUUUGUCAUUUCAAAUUCAUUUAUAAAUUAUUAUUCGUUCAGCUUUUGGCUCGCCACUCAGAUUACUUAUGCGUAAUAUAAGAAUAUAAUCACAUAAAUUGAAGAUCAAAUGCUAAGCUUUUGCCGUAAAAAAAGGCUAAUUAAUUAUUCGGUUUGAUAAUAAUCAUUGAAAAUUUAUACUAAAAUGGCAUUGUCCGCAUACAUUAAUCAUAGCUGAUAUUUUAGUAUUUUAAUUGAAAUACAAUGCAAUAUGUUAGUAAUUUAUUUAUUCCUGAUGAACAAAAUAAUUCUAAUAUAAAUAUUUAUUUAUUUCAUUCGACAAUCGAUUAAUAUAUUUUGUUGUUUAAAUAAGAGGCUAACACCUCAUUUUAAUUAAUAAAUUCGUGUUGACUCGUGUAUCACAUCACAACAUAAUAAAUUAUCUCAUUAAAAUAAACAUUUUCCAAUGAGCUCAGUAUUAAAUUUAAUUACAUUUAAUACUUUAGAUUUAAUUGUGACAAAAAUGUAUAUUCUUUGCACGAAUAGUAAACGCUAGAUGAUUUAUUUGUAAUAAUUUUUAAGGCAACGUUUAGAUCCAGGGCUGGCGCUUAUAUGGCGGAGCGCAGCGCAGAGAUUAUUUUUGCUUUGCUCCGCCAUAUAUGCGUCUGCCUUAAAUCGGGUAUUUCGACGCAAAGAAGCCAUUUAUUAAAUUAUCUAAUUUAUGGCCCCAUUAACGUGUGAGUUCUAGAAUGUCAAUCGCUAUAAGGCUUUGCGAACGAAUCUAGGUGGGCAACGGCUUGACAUUGGCAUCUGGCAUUGCUUUAGUCCAUGGACGGCGGAUGCUGCUUAACAUCAGGCCGACCGCUCGCUCUUUUGCCUACUAAGGCUAUAAAAAAAAAAACUACAACUUAAUUAAUAAAUAUUAUCCCACAAUAAAUGUUGCCUUAAAGAUUAAACAGUACACAGUAUGUUCAAUAUGUAUAAUUACUGUAGAUUAAUACUAGUCUUCUUUUUUUAUAUAUUUUGAUAAAGUAUAGUGAAUUUUGUAGAUACUAUAUUAAUUAUUAGGCGCAUUAUUUUAUUUAGAAUGUAGUAGAUAACAUUUUGCUAAGUGGUGACAGGGUGGCGGCUGUAUGUGGCGGUCAUUUCCGUGCUUUUAACUUCCUGUCCGUUACAAUAAAUUCGAAUUUUAAAAAUCCUAAUGCUAUACAUGGUGGUUAUAAAUACUGCAUUUUAUUAAUAAAAACACAAAUAAUACUGUCUUUUAAGUAUAUUUUGUGUUUUUAAAUAUUUGUUUAGUCUCGAAAUUUAGUAACUACUAUGUAUUUUUUUAGGGUUGACAUAAUCAAUGUAUUGAAUCAGUAUACAAUUGUGUACCUCCAUGUAACCUCUAUAUUAAUAUCUCCCUUAGUGCCAUCUCAAUCUACGAACAAUCCUGCUUUAUACUCAUUUAAAACCUCAAAUAUUAUUAAGAUGAAUAAUAUAUGUCGUAAAAUAGGGGAUUGUCUACUAUCGCAAUAAAUAUGGCGUUUAAUAUUACACGAAAUCAAAUUAAUAUGUGAAACGUCUAAUUAUUGCGUUAUAUAGUGACUAUGUCUAAUGUCUCGAAAGGCGAUAAUAAUUGUUGAUAUUAAUUGACGUAAGUGUCUAAGUGUAAAUGGAAAAAAAUGCAUAACGGCCGUUUUCAAAAAACGAUCCUAAUCUCAAUCUUCAAUCCGAUUCCGAGAAUGAACCAAUCAAAAUAAAUAGCUCAUUGGUAAGCAUGUCAUAAAGACUUUGUUCUGAUUGGUCCAUUUUUGAAAUAUAUAAAAAAAAAAACAAUUGGGAUCUUUUUGAAAAUGGCGGUUAGUCGAUAAUAACUCCUAUCAUUCCCUUCUCAAGACUGAAUUGAGUCUUUUGCAAGACAAUUGGUAUUAUUUGACAAUUCCCUACUAACACACAUAUUUUAAAACUUCUUACAUGUUUUAUAAAAAAUAUGACACGUGUUUAAAGAUUUCAGUUUUGUUUGUCUAUUUUGACGACACUUGGAAUAGACAAGCAAAAUGGUCUAUGCUGAGUUUUAUUAGUAUAAUUUAUAGUAAAUAAUUUUGUUUAUUUGUAAUAUUUAUUUGAUGCCACAGAGUAUAAUAUUGAUUCAGAUUAAUAGCUAAGUCAAUAUACUUCGCAAUUCUUUUUUUUAAUGUCCUUUAAGUAAUCUAUUUCCAUAAAAUUAAGGUAAUUUGGAUUACUACUAUAUUAUUGCAGAUUUCUGAAGUUAUCAUACCAAAAAUUUAUAUCCUUAAAAAUACGUCAUAAUAUUAAAGUGUUGUUUAAAAUUAGGUCUAGUAACAUAAGAGUUCUGUAACAUUGCCUUCGUUCUAUUGUGAUAAAUAAAAAGCAUAUGAGUAGUUGAAGAUAUUGUCACUACUAUGUUAGAAGCAAUAUGAGCGAUAUUCACAAGACACUUAUUAGUUGUCCAUUUUCACCAUUAACUAUACUUACCUAUAUACCCUUUUAUGAAUAAAAUAUACUUAGUAAUGUUAUAUAACGCAUAAUAAUUUAGAUUGUAACGUGCUCAAAUAAAUCGUAUCGGUCUAAACUUGAUUCCUUUAGUGUUUAAUAAAAAUGUUUGUACUUACAUGUUUGUAGGCGUUUUUACACAUAUUAGAAAUCUCACUUAACCUUAGUGGCUCGUGUGAGUUUAUUACUUUAUUUUUGUGAAUCUAGCACUGCCUUUAUAUUUCCGAAAUAGAUUGUGACGAAUUUGUAUAUAGUGCAAUGUAUGCUAAACUUCAAAUGGAUGUAUACAUGAAACGAAGACGUUCCAUAUUAGUUACUAGAGUAAGGCCCACUAACCUUACAUAUAUAUUUGCAGUCUUACUUAUAAACUUGUUUUGGCGUUAAGAUAGCUGCCAAAAACAUCAUCGGUUUCCUAGUUUAAAUCUUAUUAAUAGGCAAGAUGGCGGCUUUUGACUCACAGAUGAUCGAGUAAAUUUGUGUUUUAACUACGCAUAGCUUUGCAAAAUUUUUAUAAGUAGGAUUGUUGGUCUGUACAUAUUCAUUUGAAACUUGCAUUUCUAAAGAUUGUGUUUGAGUACUUGUACUUGCCUAGACAGCUACUAUUAUAACUCCGCCUAAUUAAUAAUGAGCCAUUAUUCAAAAAAUUCUGGACAUCCCUUUAUCUUGUUAGUUUUAUAAAAAUUAGAAAUUACGUCGCAUUUUGAGGUUUAUUUCAUUAAAAUUAAAUCGCCUGAUUAUAAAUAUUCGAUGUAUAAAAUCUUAUUGUAUUACCAUAAAUAUAUAAUUUUCUUCAACGUGGACAUUUGAAAAUGUUAUUAGUAAUGGCAACGAAUUAAAUAUUUUAUUGGCUUAAAUAUUUAGUAAAGGUUUUCCAGCUUGUAAGACUUUUCAAUGUAUAAGACGUAAUAGAAACAAGAUCAUAGAUAUGCGUUUUUAAAUAGAUAAAAGUAAGUGGCGAAGGGUGGAAUACUCGGAAAGGAAAUCCGACACAACAUAGGUAACGAUUUGCAAAUUGUUCUAAUGAUAUUUAGAUAUAGCAUUAAUUAUGAAAGGGAAGCCGGUAAAAAUCGUGUUAUAUGAUUUACACAGGAAAGUAAUUUUGUGUGAAUGUUUUGACUACUGUUAAUUUUAUUAAAGUAAAUGCAACUGAUUUUGUCAUUUUGAUACAUAUGUGUUGAAAAUAUUAUACAAAGUUUUGUAUCAACCAAAGUUAUCACAAUAUUAGAACGGGUGCCGCAUUUAAUUUGUAUGAGAGCAGUGUUUCAUAUAACAAGGCAUGUCUAGAUAUUUAUGUCCAUGGCUAACUAUUCUGUAGGUAAACUCUAGGCGUUCAAUUUUAGAGUUCAAAAUCUAAUAAAUAUUUUAACAAGUACGGCAACACCUCAUUAUUUUCAAUUUUAUUUCACUACGUCAAGAAACGUUGUUAACACAAAUUGGAUUAGUUGAAAAACGAAGAGGUUUUAUGCAUUCAAUUGACAGCUUCUCGGGUACUGCCAUGUAACCAGUGAUAUUAUAUUAUAUCUGUAUAUAUAAUAAAACAGUAGAACCUGGGAAUAUCUGUAUAUUGUAAGAAAGUUAAAAAUGGAAACAGGGGAAUACAGGAGAGUAUUAGAACACAAAUCAGUAAUUUUUUGAAUUAUUUUAUUUUUUGGCAUUGGUAUUUUAAUGUAGUUUUCACAGGUGGACAUUAAAAUCUGACGUCGAAAAAUACGUCAUGCGUGAGAAGCCGCGGCCACAGCAAGUGUUAUAGAAAAGCAAAAUUAUCCCAAUUGGGACGAUUGCAUACACUACGCGUAAAUAACGUGCAUUAUUUGUACUGGUUAAAACACAUCAAAUUACCCGACACAUAAUGUGUAGAAUUGCGCACUUAAAAUGUUCAAAAAUACACGACAUAGAAGUCGAUGUUUGUGAUCGAGCGAAAAACAAUGCAUCAAUCACAUGUAGGUCUCUCAAACGACACGGAGUCGUGUGUUUUUUUUCACAUUCCACACAUAACAUUUGUUUGAUUUGGUAUGCCAUAUCUAUAAUAAUAAUAAUAUCAGCCCUGUAUAAUAUACUUGCCCACUGCUGAGCACGGGCCUCUUCUACUACUGAGAGGGAUUAGGCCUUAGUCCACCACGCUGGUCUAGUGCGGAUUGGUAGAAUUCACACACCUUCGAAAUUCCUAUAGAGCCAUAUCUAUACUAUUGAUCAAUUGUUGCACGCAACGUAUUGUAUUCUUCAAUGUGUAUGUAACGUUUUAUAAAGUUUGCUGGCCAGACAAUUAUGAGCCCUAUAAUGUUAAAUUGAGCGCAUAGAGUUCAUCGUUACAAUUUGAACAUGAAAUGAGAACAAUAUUUUAUCACUUUGCAAAGCAAUAAUUAUGAUUAUUAUGUUAGAAUAUAGGAUAUUAACAUUUCAUUUUAUAUUUAUUUAUAGUUUUAAUUAAAUUGAACAUUGUAUUGUAGGUAAUGUAUAUUCGAACGAGUAAUCAGAUAGAUCAAUUAAUGUGAUGAUUUUUUAGAUCUUUAUUUCAUUGUAAAUAUUUUUAGAUUUACAAUACAGAAAAUAAAUACUUCCAAAG